CCUUUUGUAUAAUGGGUCAGCGACUUAUAUUCUGUAGCAAGGUUAACCGAAUAGGGGAGCCGAAGGGAAACCGAGUCUUAACUGGGCGUUAAGUUGCAGGGUAUAGACCCGAAACCCGGUGAUCUAGCCAUGGGCAGGUUGAAGGUUGGGUAACACUAACUGGAGGACCGAACCGACUAAUGUUGAAAAAUUAGCGGAUGACUUGUGGCUGGGGGUGAAAGGCCAAUCAAACCGGGAGAUAGCUGGUUCUCCCCGAAAGCUAUUUAGGUAGCGCCUCGUGAAUUCAUCUCCGGGGGUAGAGCACUGUUUCGGCAAGGGGGUCAUCCCGACUUACCAACCCGAUGCAAACUGCGAAUACCGGAGAAUGUUAUCACGGGAGACACACGGCGGGUGCUAACGUCCGUCGUGAAGAGGGAAACAACCCAGACCGCCAGCUAAGGUCCCAAAGUCAUGGUUAAGUGGGAAACGAUGUGGGAAGGCCCAGACAGCCAGGAUGUUGGCUUAGAAGCAGCCAUCAUUUAAAGAAAGCGUAAUAGCUCACUGGUCGAGUCGGCCUGCGCGGAAGAUGUAACGGGGCUAAACCAUGCACCGAAGCUGCGGCAGCGACGCUGAUGCGUUGUUGGGUAGGGGAGCGUUCUGUAAGCCUGCGAAGGUGUGCUGUGAGGCAUGCUGGAGGUAUCAGAAGUGCGAAUGCUGACAUAAGUAACGAUAAAGCGGGUGAAAAGCCCGCUCGCCGGAAGACCAAGGGUUCCUGUCCAACGUUAAUCGGGGCAGGGUGAGUCGACCCCUAAGGCGAGGCCGAAAGGCGUAGUCGAUGGGAAACAGGUUAAUAUUCCUGUACUUGGUGUUACUGCGAAGGGGGGACGGAGAAGGCUAUGUUGGCCGGGCGACGGUUGUCCCGGUUUAAGCGUGUAGGCUGGUUUUCCAGGCAAAUCCGGAAAAUCAAGGCUGAGGCGUGAUGACGAGGCACUACGGUGCUGAAGCAACAAAUGCCCUGCUUCCAGGAAAAGCCUCUAAGCAUCAGGUAACAUCAAAUCGUACCCCAAACCGACACAGGUGGUCAGGUAGAGAAUACCAAGGCGCUUGAGAGAACUCGGGUGAAGGAACUAGGCAAAAUGGUGCCGUAACUUCGGGAGAA
Molecule: ribosomal RNA, 1138 nt
Filed under: Escherichia coli
Lineage: Bacteria; Pseudomonadati; Pseudomonadota; Gammaproteobacteria; Enterobacterales; Enterobacteriaceae
Description: partial 23S ribosomal RNA
Rfam family: Bacterial large subunit ribosomal RNA
Source: RNAcentral